Molecule: ribosomal RNA, 419 nt
Filed under: uncultured bacterium
Lineage: Bacteria
Description: bacterial SSU rRNA
Rfam family: Bacterial small subunit ribosomal RNA
Source: RNAcentral
AACGAACGCUGGCGGCAGGCCUAACACAUGCAAGUCGAACGCCCCGCAAGGGGAGUGGCAGACGGGUGAGUAACGCGUGGGAACGUGCCCUUCGGUUCGGAAUAACUCAGGGAAACUUGAGCUAAUACCGGAUACGUCCGUAAGGAGAAAGAUUUAUCGCCGAAGGAUCGGCCCGCGUCGGAUUAGCUAGUUGGUGAGGUAACGGCCCACCAAGGCGACGAUCCGUAGCUGGUCUGAGAGGAUGAUCAGCCACACUGGGACUGAGACACGGCCCAGACUCCUACGGGAGGCAGCAGUGGGGAAUAUUGGACAAUGGGCGAAAGCCUGAUCCAGCCAUGCCGCGUGAGUGAAGAAGGCCUUAGGGUUGUAAAGCUCUUUCAGCGGGAAGAUAAUGACGGUACCCGCAGAAGAAGCCCCGG